AGUAAUAUUUCACCUUGGAUAUCUCUACUUCAACUCAGCUACAUGGGAAAACCAUGAAGGCCGUGCUACAGCUUAUUGAGAAAUUGCAGCCUUAAACCAUUGAAGUUGCAGGAAUGACACACAAAUGUGUCCUUGUGGCAAAACAAGGUUCAUAAAUACAUGGUUUGACACAUGUAUAUAGUGAGGAGGAACUUCUGUGGCUUGCACAGUCCUGAUCUUAACCCCACUGAACACCUCUGGGAUGAAGUGAAAUAUUGAUUAACAGUCAGAAUCCAGGACCAACAGACCAAAAACCCCUAUUGAGCAAGCUGAGGUCGACAGUGGCAAGGAAAAACUCCCUGAAAAUUACAGGAAGAAACCUUGAGAGGAACCAGACUUAGCAGGGACCCCCAUCCUUCUCGGGUGGCCUGGAGGAGUUCUUCAUUGUUUAGUCCAGUCUGUGAAAAAGUCCGUUGUAAGUUCUGGACAUUUUGGCACUUUACCAUCAGACAACAACAUUCACCACCAUAUACCAACACUCAUCAUUAAACAAAUGUUUUCAGGUACACACUAUCAUUUACUAACACACAUUCAUUCUUUAUUAAAUACCAACAUUUACAACUUAACAUCAGCCUUUACAAUCAAAUACCAAUACUCACUAUUAAAUACCAACAUUUACCAUCAAAUACCGAGUCACUGUCAUACCCCAACAUUCAUUAUGAAUCACCAAUAUGUACAAAUACCAAAUGUCACUGUGAAACACCAACAUUCAACAUUAUCAUGACAACCCAAAUAAACCAG
Molecule: long non-coding RNA, 780 nt
Organism: Trichomycterus rosablanca
Lineage: Eukaryota; Metazoa; Chordata; Actinopteri; Siluriformes; Trichomycteridae
Exons: 4
Source: RefSeq, a predicted model, not a curated record